Molecule: long non-coding RNA, 1082 nt
Organism: Homo sapiens (human)
Lineage: Eukaryota; Metazoa; Chordata; Mammalia; Primates; Hominidae
Gene: HISLA
Product: HIF1A stabilizing long noncoding RNA
Source: Ensembl
AAUGGAUUUAGGGCUGUGCAGAAUGUGCUUUGUUAAACAAGUGCUUGAAGGCAGUAUGCUUGGUAAAAGUCAUCGCCAUUCUCUAAUCUUGAGUACCCAGGGACACGAUACACUGCGGAAGGCUGCAGGGACCUCUGCCCAGGAAAGCCAGGGAUCACUCUAAGCUCCAGUGUCAAGGAGUCAAGUCCUUCAGGAAUUCUCUGCCUCCACUCCCUGUGGCAGAGCUAGAGUGGCUGCCAUGCUUCUGAGCUCAGCCAGCAUCCAGAGAGAGAGUGAGAUACAGCCUCCUCUUCUUGAAGCACCCACUUCUAAACUCUGUGACAGUUUUCUUGGAACUCUGUUAUGUGGAUCUGGAGAUGACAAUGUCACAGCACUCCCCUCUAAGCCUAAAUUCCCCCACACCGAUGAACUAUUAGGAUCCAGUAUCUGCCGGAGGAGCCCCACCUUCUGCUACUAUUAUGUUCUUCAGAUGAGUAGAAGAGAGUGGGGAGGGAGAGAGCAGGAAGAAGAAAGGAAGAAUAAUGUCUUGAAAUUGUUUUCUAAGGAUAAUGGUCUCCAGCUUCGUCAAUGUUCCUGCAAAGGACAUGAUGCUGACUUUGAAGAUGCAAGCUUCCACAUCUACAGCCUCAAGGAAACAAAUUCAGCCAACCAACUGAGGGAGCUUUCCUUGUCCUGCCUCAAGAUGAGAUCACAGUCUGCCCAACACCAUGAUUUAGGCCUUGUGACACCUGGGAUAAAAAUUUACCUGGAUGCAAGGCUAUUCAGAAUGAAGAUUAAUGAUAUGGUUUGGCUGUGUCCCCACCCAAACUUCAUCUUGAAUUCCCACGUGUUGUGAGAGGGACCUGGUGGGAGAUAAUUGAACCAUGGGGGCAGGUCUUUCUCAUGCUGUUCUCAUGAGAGUGAAUAAGUCUCAUGAAACCUGAUGGUUUUAUAAGGGGGAAUUUCCCUGCACAAGCUCUCUCUCUGCCUUUUGCCAUCCAUGUAAGACGUGACUUGGUCCUCCUUGCCUUCUACCAUGAUUAUGAGGCCUCCCCAGCCACGUGGAACUGUGAGUCCAUUAAACCUCUUUCUUUUGUAAAUUU